Molecule: long non-coding RNA, 306 nt
Filed under: Rattus norvegicus (Norway rat)
Lineage: Eukaryota; Metazoa; Chordata; Mammalia; Rodentia; Muridae
Description: long non-coding RNA NONRATT007287
Source: RNAcentral
ACCGCUUCGACCAUCACUGUGUUUGGGUGAACAACUGCAUUGGGGCCUGGAACACCGGGUACUUCCUCAUCUACCUCCUGACACUGACAGCCUCUGCCGCCACCAUAGCCAUCCUGAGUGCCGCCUUUCUGCUCCGCCUAGUGGCAGUGUCAAAUCUCUACCAGGAAACUUACCUGGAUGACUUGGGGCGUUUCCAGGCUGUGGACACAGGCUUUCUCAUUCAGGUAAUUUUGUACUGGGUCCCAGGAAAACACGAAGCUACUCUUUUAUUCUUUUUAAAAAAUAAAUAUUCUUAUUCUUUGAGAA